UUUCAAUAUAAGAAGAGAGAUUGGCUCAAAUUUUAUGAUUAACUACAAAACGGAAGUGUGUGCGUGAGAGAGAGAGAGAGAGACCCCAAAAGGCAGCAGACGAGCAAGUGAAAUAUUUGAAGAAUGACCAGCUGGAGAGAGAUCUGAGAGACCAAGAAGGAAGGAAGGAGGAGAAGAUGUGGUCACUCAUCGAAAAUUGCAGCCCAUUAGUUGAGAAUGUCGCGCAAAAGGUUCAAAGUGAAAGUCAAACAGAAAACCCGAAAACAAAAAAAAAAAAACCUCAUACAAAAUUAUCCGAAAUCUGUCAAGGCUUUCGGUAUACCCUUCUGUAUAUCCCUUUGUAGGUAGACACUUCUAAAAGGACGACAAGUUAAACAAUAAUAGUUAUUAAUUUUAAUCAAUAACAAACUGUCGACUUUUCAACCUGGAAAACAGAAACGAUAACAGACAUUGAUUCCGACUGAAAUUUUCCAAUUGGCAAACAAAUUUAGUUGAAUUAAUAUAUUAAUUUUAACAUUUGGGCAAUUUCUUUUACCAUUAAUAAAACUGUUAAAUUUUUGUGAAA
Molecule: long non-coding RNA, 565 nt
Organism: Drosophila willistoni
Lineage: Eukaryota; Metazoa; Arthropoda; Insecta; Diptera; Drosophilidae
Exons: 2
Source: RefSeq, a predicted model, not a curated record